Molecule: unclassified non-coding RNA, 375 nt
Filed under: uncultured bacterium
Lineage: Bacteria
Description: contains 16S-23S intergenic spacer region
Source: RNAcentral
UCCUCAUUAACUGAGGCAGUCUGCUGUGAAAUUGCAACACAGCAUAGGGGUUGCGCUCGUUACCCCACUUAAGGGUACACCUCACGGCACGAGCUGACGGCAACCAUGCAGCACCUGUUCAUGGAUCCGAUUUGACGGUCGGCGCUACUUUCGAAGCGCGUACUCCAUGUAUUUCAAGACCUGGUAAGGUUCUUCGUUUACCGUCGAAUUAAACCACAUGUUCCACCGCUUGUGCGGGUCCCCGUCUAUUCCUUUGAGUUUUAGUCUUGCGACCGUACUCCCCAGGCGGUGUGCUUAACGCGUUAGCUUUUUUUGACGGCACUGGAAGGGUCGAUACUUCCAAUACCCAGCACACAUCGUUUACAGCGUGGACUA